GGGGGGGGGGGGGGGGGGGGGGGGGGGGGGGGGGGCUCCAGACCCGCCGGGGUCGCGCCUGCACCGCACCGGCGCUGCUGCGAGCCGAGGAGGGGUGUCCGUGUGCUUUGCGAGCAAGUACUGAAAGUUUUGGGCCGGAGGUUUUCCUGUGCUCUCCGUAGCUGUUGCCCAGUGCUGCCCUGAGGAAAAGCAGCGUUGGGAAGGCAGGUGCUGCCCUGAGGAGCAGUGCUGGGAAGGCUGCUGCCCCUUUUCCUGCGGGGUGUCAGGGCGAGGCUCCUCACAAGGCCUGCAGUG
Molecule: long non-coding RNA, 294 nt
Filed under: Ficedula albicollis (Collared flycatcher)
Lineage: Eukaryota; Metazoa; Chordata; Aves; Passeriformes; Muscicapidae
Description: lncRNA (ENSFALG00000028979.1)
Source: RNAcentral